This 450-nucleotide ribosomal RNA is filed under the name uncultured bacterium. RNAcentral describes it as "partial 16S ribosomal RNA". It matches the Rfam family "Bacterial small subunit ribosomal RNA", at positions 338 to 795 of the family's 1533-position model. The record is from RNAcentral.
CCUACGGGAGGCUGCAGUGGGGAAUAUUGCGCAAUGGGGGAAACCCUGACGCAGCGACGCCGCGUGGGUGAUGAAGGCCUUCGGGUCGUAAAGCCCUGUCGGAGGGGAAGAAGGACUCUCGUGCAAAUAGUUCGAGGGUUUGACGGUACCCUUAGAGGAAGCACCGGCUAACUCCGUGCCAGCAGCCGCGGUAAUACGGAGGGUGCAAGCGUUGCUCGGAAUUACUGGGCCGAAUGGGCGUGUAGGCCGUGAAAGCCCCGGGCUCACCUCGGGAAGUGCGUCGGAAACUGCGAGACUAGAGUCCCGGAGAGGGAGGUGGAAUUCCAGGUGUAGCGGUGAAAUGCGUAGAUAUCUGGAAGAACACCGGUGGCGAAAGCGGCCUCCUGGACGGUGACUGACGCUGAGACGCGAAAGCGUGGGGAGCAAACAGGAUUAGAUACCCCUGUAGUC